Long non-coding RNA from Penaeus indicus, 196 nucleotides. RefSeq lists it as uncharacterized. The record is from RefSeq and is a predicted model, not a curated record. Lineage: Eukaryota; Metazoa; Arthropoda; Malacostraca; Decapoda; Penaeidae. The transcript is spliced from 3 exons.
GUCGACGAAGGGCGGUGCGAAGACAUAGACGAGUGCCGGAGAGGCAACGGAGGCUGCGAACACCAGUGCCUGAAUACCCCGGGGUCCUUUACCUGCUCCUGCCCCCCCGGCUUCCGCUCGGUCGACGAAGGGCGGUGCGAAGACAUAGACGAGUGCCGGAGAGGCAACGGAGGCUGCGAACACCAGUGCCUGAAUA